ACCAAGAAAGCUUCACUGAUGUGGGCUCACCUCCUCCAGAGACAACUGUGUCACUCUCAGGCAACUCCCGCCGUUGGAACAAUGUCCGUCUUUCUACCUGAAAUCCGUGGGCAGCAUAGACAGUACAAGCCUUUGAAGACAGACUGGAAGUUGGAUGCCCUCUGCUUCUGAGGGCUGAUAAUUGGCUUCCAUUCUGGCCAAGCUGGAGGUUGGUAGCAGGCAGCCACUGCAGGCUAGCUUGGGCAUGGUCUCACGCGGAUGGCGGAGCACCAGAAGGUCGGUUCCAGUGUGAAAAGCCCAUUUUAAGCUUCUGCUCAAACAUGUCUGCUAACAUCCCAUUGGCCAAGGCA
Long non-coding RNA from Felis catus (domestic cat), 350 nucleotides. RefSeq lists it as uncharacterized. The record is from RefSeq and is a predicted model, not a curated record. The transcript is spliced from 3 exons. Lineage: Eukaryota; Metazoa; Chordata; Mammalia; Carnivora; Felidae.